Molecule: small nucleolar RNA, 72 nt
Organism: Styela clava
Lineage: Eukaryota; Metazoa; Chordata; Ascidiacea; Stolidobranchia; Styelidae
Product: small nucleolar RNA SNORD18
Source: RefSeq, a predicted model, not a curated record
UUUAUAUGAUGAUAUUUAUCUUCAUGGUCCGUGUUUUUGAAACAUUUGUGAUAAUAAUGAAGUCCUGAGCAG